AUGCGAUCAUGUAGCAGACAUUUGCAGUACACUGUACGAAGGAUCCUCCUUUUGCCCUUGUCAGAGAUCCAUGGAAUCUACAGAGAGAACAUGCAAAAUCUUCUUGACAAGAGGGAAUAACAGAACGAUGAACAGGUUCAUAACGAUGCUCCAGAUGUCACAUUCUGCUUUGGUGCUGAUCUGGCUCAUUUCACUGUGACUGAUAUUCAUGAUGUUCAACUCAUAACCACUGGUAUGUCAGGUGUAUGUGUAUGUGUGUGCGUGUGCAGGCAAGCAUGAGUGCAUGCGAAAAAAAAAAACUAUUUGGAAAUCACAGCAGGCAAGCAUUCCUUUAAGAAAUCUCUGAACCAAUGAUCUGAGAAACAACCUCUACCUCAGGGGUAUGGUGUGUGCAUGUGUGGCUGUGCAAUCUGAA
Ictalurus punctatus (channel catfish) is the source of this 415-nucleotide long non-coding RNA. RefSeq lists it as uncharacterized. The record is from RefSeq and is a predicted model, not a curated record. The transcript has 3 exons. Lineage: Eukaryota; Metazoa; Chordata; Actinopteri; Siluriformes; Ictaluridae.